Molecule: ribosomal RNA, 467 nt
Filed under: uncultured bacterium
Lineage: Bacteria
Description: SSU rRNA
Rfam family: Bacterial small subunit ribosomal RNA
Source: RNAcentral
AGAACGAACGCUGGCGGCAUGCCUAACACAUGCAAGUCGAACGCUCUUGGGAUUUCGGUCUCAAGGGAGUGGCGCACGGGUGAGUAGCGCGUGGGAACCUGCCCUGUUGUGGGGGAUAACCGAGGGAAACUUCGGCUAAUACCGCAUGCGCCCCCGGGAGUGAUCCUGGGGGGAAAGAUUUAUCGCAGCAGGAGGGGCCCGCGUCGGAUUAGGUAGUUGGUGGGGUAACGGCCCACCAAGCCUGUGAUCCGUAGCUGGUCUGAGAGGAUGAUCAGCCACACUGGGACUGAGACACGGCCCAGACUCCUACGGGAGCAGCAGUGGGGAAUAUUGGACAAUGGGCGCAAGCCUGAUCCAGCAAUGCCGCGUGAGUGAUGAAGGCCCUAGGGUUGUAAAGCUCUUUUAUGCGGGAAGAUAAUGACGGUACCGCAAGAAUAAGCCCCGGCUAACUUCGUGCCAGCAGCCGC